This is a long non-coding RNA of Erinaceus europaeus (western European hedgehog), 601 nucleotides long. RefSeq lists it as uncharacterized. Lineage: Eukaryota; Metazoa; Chordata; Mammalia; Eulipotyphla; Erinaceidae. The record is from RefSeq and is a predicted model, not a curated record. The transcript has 4 exons.
GCUCCCCAGCAGCUGGGAGCUGGGAGCUGGGCAGGGGCCCCUCCCCGGGUCUCUGAGGCCUCACGCACGGCGGUGACGGCGAGGAGGGGGCUCUGCUCCGGAGAGCAGCCCUCCCCGCCAGCCGCCAGCCGCCAGCCGCCCUGGGUGAGAGACAGCGAGCAUCAGGACAGGACACCCGUCUGGAAGCCCUCCCAGCCUGGCCCCAGCGUGGGGUGUCUGCAGCAGGCCCUCGGGUGACACGCGGCCUCCCCAGGCAGAGCCCCCUCUGCCCCGGCCGAGUGUGGAAGUGACCAGGAGCUAGUGGUGACCGCUGUUCCGUCAGGGCUGCCCCCCUCGGGCCCCUGGCCUGGCCACCUGCAGGCGGAACUGGAGGGGCUUCCGGGGGCUUCCCUCCCCCCUUCCCUGAGUCUGUCUCCUUGUCCUGGGCAGGGCCCAAGGGACACCCUGCUGCCCGGGCCUUGAGACGCUUUGAGAAGCUCAGGGUGACCCACGGCGACUUCUCAGGAGACAAGACUUGCUCUGUGACGUGGGGAGCGUCCCUCAGGAUCUGGGCGGCGUCCUCGUAGGUCUGGAACCCAGGGCCAGGGAGGCGGGUGGCACG